This 98-nucleotide microRNA precursor is filed under the name Mus pahari (shrew mouse). RNAcentral's name for it is "microRNA 1954 (MGP_PahariEiJ_G0007323.1)". The record is from RNAcentral. Lineage: Eukaryota; Metazoa; Chordata; Mammalia; Rodentia; Muridae.
GAGGUCAGUCGGAACUGCAGAGUGAGACCCUGUCCUUUGUUUGUUUGUUUGUUUGUUUGUUUAAGAUGGGGUUUCUCUGUGUGGCCCUGGCUGUCCUA